Molecule: ribosomal RNA, 153 nt
Filed under: Hyphopichia homilentoma
Lineage: Eukaryota; Fungi; Ascomycota; Pichiomycetes; Serinales; Debaryomycetaceae
Description: 5.8S ribosomal RNA
Rfam family: 5.8S ribosomal RNA
About the family: 5.8S ribosomal RNA (5.8S rRNA) is a component of the large subunit of the eukaryotic ribosome.
Source: RNAcentral
ACUUUCAACAACGGAUCUCUUGGUUCUCGCAUCGAUGAAGAACGCAGCGAAAUGCGAUAAGUAAUAUGAAUUGCAGAUUGUGAAUCAUCGAAUCUUUGAACGCACAUUGCACCGUGUGGCAUUCCACACGGUAUGCCUGUUUGAGCGUGGUUU